AAUGUGCAGAAUGGUAUAGAAUUCCUGACCACACCUCACUCAUUCUUUAAAAGAAAGCUACAAUGGCUUAAUAGAGAAGUGCUCUUCCUCUAAAUUACUCAAGUCCUCUUUUGGCUCUUGUUUCAACACAGAUGUUCCUUCCUCUAUGUGUCCUUUGUCCAUUAUAACACAGUGCAUACAUACUUUAAUUUUUCAAUUUCCCUCCUUUCCCCCCCUAAAUUAGAUGGUGAGGUCUUUGAAAACCAUUGUUUAUUACACAACUUUAAAUGAUGCCUUCCUAUUGGUGGGACCUACUCAGUUGAAAUGGGCUAUAAUCCACUCCAAUGAAAACGCUUUGCUGCUGACGGUCUUAUGAGAAGGUGCGGCAGGCUGCUUCUGCGAAGACUACAGACUUGGAAACCCUCUGGGCAGCAGUUCGACUCUUCCCUCCAGGGUCCCCAGGAGUCACCCACUCCUCAGCAGUGGGUCGGUCUGGUUCUUAUCACAACGUUUAGUAGGUUAGAGGCCGUGUAAGAAGCCUGAUGCCGCAGCGGGUUCAGCGCUGGACGACUAACCGGACCCCUUCGGAUGAAGAAACUCCGUUAGGACUGAUGCCUUGGCGAGUGAAUAAAGAACAAUUGUUGUGCCUUGGAUGCCUGCUUGCGGGCACUAUUCAAGGAACUAGGAGGUGGACGGAGCACUAAACAUGUUUUUAGGCCAAUUAACUGGGAUGGCCUGUGAAACCAUGGCCCUAACUCUACAAACCAAGCAACCGAAUCUCAUGAGGUGUUGUAAUUUCAGUUAAGCAGCUGUAGCAGCUACUCUUUGUUGCUGUCAGCAUCAUCAUCAUCAUCAUCAUCAUCAAGAUGUCAUACAACUUUUGCCCAUUCAAGCUCUUAUUGACAGCAAUGAUAAUAAUAAACCGGUUGUGUA
Long non-coding RNA from Echinops telfairi (small Madagascar hedgehog), 912 nucleotides. RefSeq lists it as uncharacterized. NCBI's taxonomy places the organism in Eukaryota, Metazoa, Chordata, Mammalia, Afrosoricida, Tenrecidae. The transcript is spliced from 3 exons. The record is from RefSeq and is a predicted model, not a curated record.